This 201-nucleotide ribosomal RNA is filed under the name uncultured bacterium. Its description in RNAcentral is "partial 16S ribosomal RNA". It matches the Rfam family "Bacterial small subunit ribosomal RNA", at positions 1300 to 1500 of the family's 1533-position model. The record is from RNAcentral.
GAAGGCUGAAAUUACGCCUUCAUGAAGCUGGAAUUGCUAGUAAUGGCAGGUCAGCAUACUGCCGUGAAUACGUUCCCGGGCCUUGUACACACCGCCCGUCACACCAUGAGAGUUGGGAAUACCCGAAGCCUGUGAGCUAACUUAUAGAGGCAGCAGUCGAAGGUAGAAUCAAUGAUUGGGGUGAAGUCGUAACAAGGUAGC